This 197-nucleotide microRNA precursor is filed under the name Oryza meridionalis. RNAcentral describes it as "MIR812 microRNA precursor family". It matches the Rfam family "MIR812 microRNA precursor family". The record is from Rfam by way of RNAcentral. Lineage: Eukaryota; Viridiplantae; Streptophyta; Magnoliopsida; Poales; Poaceae.
UUUAAUUAUAGUUGUGGAUUUCCGUAUCGAUCGUCUGUUUUAUUAAAAAAAUAUAAUUAAUAUUUUUUAUUGUUAUUAGAUGACAAAACAUAAAUAGUACUUUAUGCGUGAUUUAUUUUUUCUAAAUUUUUUCAUAAUUUUUUUAAAUAAGACGGAUAAUCAAACAUUGGACAUGGAAAUUCAUAGCUGCACUUAAA